RNAcentral lists this unclassified non-coding RNA (335 nucleotides) under soil metagenome. Its description in RNAcentral is "partial contains 5.8S ribosomal RNA, internal transcribed spacer 2, and large subunit ribosomal RNA". The stretch from base 1 to 120 matches the Rfam family "5.8S ribosomal RNA", at positions 35 to 154 of the family's 154-position model. The record is from RNAcentral.
GAUGAAGAACGCAGCGAAAUGCGAUAAGUAAUGUGAAUUGCAGAAUUCAGUGAAUCAUCGAAUCUUUGAACGCACAUUGCGCCCAUUAGCAUUCUAGUGGACAUGCCUGUUCGAGCGUCAUUUCAACCCUUAAGCCCUGUUGCUUAGCGUUGGGAGCCUACAGUACUGUAGCUCCCCAAAGUUAGUGGCGGAGUCGGUUUCACACUCUAGACGUAGUAAUUUUUUCUCGUCUGUAGUUGAGCCGGUCCCCUGCCGUAAAACACCCAAUUUAUCAAGGUUGACCUCGGAUCAGGUAGGAAUACCCGCUGAACUUAAGCAUAUCAAUAAGCGGAGGA